AGGGCGGGGAAGGCCCGGGGAACCCAGCAGCGCUGCCGCCGCCGCCGCAGCAGCAGCCGGAGUUGGAGGAGGGAGAAGCCAGGAAGAAAAUGGCGGCUGUGGCUGCAGAGGCGGCAGCGACUGCAGCGUCCCCCGGGGAGGGGGGCGCCGGCGAGGCCGAGCCGGAGAUGGAGCCCAUCCCCGGCAGCGAGGCCGGCACUGACCCGCUCCCGGUCACGGCCACUGAAGCAUCUGUGCCGGACGCCGAGGCCGACGGGCAGCAGUCCUCUCCUCAGGCCGACGAGCCCCCGCUCCCGCCGCCACCGCCGCCGCCGGGGGAGCUCGCCUGCAGCCCGGAGGCGGCGGAGCUGGAGCUGGAGGCGGACGAACUGCCUGCCGGUGUUGUGGAGCUGACGGCAGCCGCGUCUCAGGAGGGGCCUGACCUUCCACCUUCCCCUGCACCGCCGCCCGAGCAGCCCCCAGCUCCCGAGGAGCGCCAGGAACUACCGCUGCCCCAGCCAGCAGCCCCUGCGCUCGUGCCGCCGGCGGGCGGGGACUCCGCGGUGUCGCAACUGAUCCCCGGCUCGGAGGUGCGGGUCACGCUGGACCACAUCAUUGAGGACGCGCUCGUCGUGUCGUUCCGCCUCGGGGAGAAGCUCUUCUCGGGGGUCCUGAUGGAUCUGUCCAAAAGGUUUGGGCCCCAUGGGAUCCCUGUGACAAUAUUUCCCAAAAGGGAAUAUAAGGAUAAACCUGAAGCCAUGCAGCUCCAAAGUAAUACAUUCCAAGCAGGGACAGAAGUGAAGCGGGAAGUGAAUGGUGCUGUUCCUGAUGUCCCUUCUCCUGUCCCACCUCCCGAGCUGAGCUUGGCCGAAAGCCUGUGGACUUCCAAACCACCGCCUCUCUUCCAUGAAGGAGCACCUUAUCCUCCCCCUUUGUUUAUCAGGGACACAUAUAACCAAUCAAUACCUCAGCCACCUCCUCGGAAAAUUAAGCGACCCAAACGAAAAAUGUACAGGGAAGAACCUACUUCAAUAAUGAAUGCUAUUAAACUACGACCCAGGCAAGUCUUGUGUGACAAAUGCAAAAACAGUGUUGUUGCUGAAAAAAAAGAAAUUAGAAAAGGUAGUAAUGCAAGUGACUCUUCUAAAUAUGAAGAUAAAAAACGGAGAAAUGAAAGUGUAACUACUGUGAACAAAAAACUGAAAACUGACCAUAAAGUGGAUGGGAAAAACCAAAACGAAAGCCAGAAAAGAAAUGCUGUGGUUAAGGUUUCAAAUAUUGCUCACAGCAGAGGCAGAGUAGUCAAAGUUUCUGCUCAGGCAAAUACAUCAAAAGCUCAGUUAAGUACUAAAAAAGUGCUCCAGAGUAAGAACAUGGAUCAUGCAAAAGCUCGGGAAGUUUUGAAAAUUGCCAAAGAAAAGGCACAGAAGAAGCAAAGUGACACCUCUACGUCCAGAAGUGCGCAUUCAAAAGUCCAUUUCACACGUCGAUAUCAGAAUCCUAGCUCAGGUUCCCUUCCACCCCGGGUUCGUUUAAAACCACAGAGGUACAGGAAUGAAGAAAAUGACUCUUCUCUGAAGACAGGACUGGAGAAAAUGCGGAGUGGCAAGAUGGCACCCAAGCCUCAGUCCCGCUGCACCUCUACGCGCUCAGCAGAAAUGUGAGAAGAUUAUCCUGUUGAUUACAAAUGAUAUAAAUGGAUACUUAAUGAGAAUAUUACUUGCCAGUAGUACAGGUCUCAACAAAUGGCAGCUAUUACAUCAGACAGUGACGAAUCCUGCUGCUCCCUUACAGUGUCUGACAGACCACUGUGGAUUCAGACUGGGAGCAUUGAAGUUAACAGUGAAACGGGCAGGUCUGUCUGUGUUAAGCCCUGCCACAGAGUGAAGAGGGCAUCAUGUCAUCCUUAUCAUUCCCAAAGUAGGUUAGGCUAGAUUUAAAGGGGAUGCAUUAGUUCUUUCUCCUUGUCUUUACUGACCUUGGUUAGCUGGGUGUAUUCAUGUAAGUGAUAGUUUGAAUGAGUGAAAAUAACUUUUAACCAGUAUUAGCUGCUGUGUUUAAAAAAAAGAAGAAUAAAAGGAGAGCUAGCCUCCCACGAGCUUCCUUGAAUUGAGAGGAGUUACUCCUAGGGUAGAAGUUGGGUGUCACAACUGCAGAAUUUUGUCAAGGAUGACUGAGUGUCCACUGGAAGUCAAGUAUCGGAUUUAUCUUUUCAUUGUCUCAGUCUCUGUCACUUUUAUACUCAUUACUUCUUAGUCAUUACUUAAUAUAUAAGGAUAUGUGUAGCUGUAUAUAAGUGAAUUAAACCUCAAAACCGUUGUCAUUUACAAAAGGCAAGUCAAAACUCAGGAGGAAUGCUUAAAUGUAUCUGUAAUCUAUUUAAGUACAUUUAUUAAAACCACCUAGGAUAAUGCCUAAAAGGCUUAUUUGGGGGCUAGCAGGAAAAGUUGAGGAAAUUUUGCUGUGCUGCUUUUGAAGUUAGUUUUUUUUUUUUCUUUCUUGAAUUAAGGCUAUUUAACUCACUAGUGUUUGAAGCUAGUAAAGAGAUAUUAAUUGAAUUGUAUCAUUGUAUGUGAGCUGUGAUUUGCAAACUGGGUCAGAAUGGCACAUGUUGGAUUCAAGAUUGAGGCUGGGAUAUUUUGGACUCUUACCUAUGUAGGAGUGAUAGCUACCAGGUGAUCUGAGGGAAUAGCAUUUUCAGUUUUCUGCACCUCCUAUGGGAAUAAUAAGAUCUGCUUUGGUCCUUGGCUUUCCUGCCAACUUGAAUAGGCUUCACUAAGGUUGAGUUGUAAAUAGAAGGAAAUGAAAUUGUACAGGGGAUUGGCUGUUUACCUUUUUCUUUCAGUUUAUAAAAUGGGGAUACUUACUUCCAAAGUUCCCUGAGUCUGAAUUUAUUAUGAUCAUAUCAGUAUCUUAGUUUUAGACAUAAAAACUUUCCUUAGCUCAGUGUUUAAUUUUAAAAUGAUGUUAGUCAUUCUGUUUCUUUAGUAGCAAGGACUACAUCACCUUCUGUUUUGAUGUGUGCAAUAUUUAUGGCUAGAAGCCAGUUUUCAUUGCUUGAGAAGAAAUGUGAUAGACCCCCCUGUGAAGUUUAUUUUAUAGGCUUUGAUCCAGUAAGUGAAGCAUGGCAGCACUGGAAGUGAAGAUCUUGAGUUCUAAGAAAUACAGCUACUUUGAAAUGUUUGGAAGUUAAAUACUGGGAAGGAUGGGGUGGUUUUUUUUUCUUUUUCUAUGUUUUGUCUGUUAUUAUUACACGGAAGGUACCAUAUCUUUAGUUUAAAAAUACAUUGGACCAAAAAUAAUCGUCGUUCUUUCCACUGCUCACAUGUUUUGGAAUUUAAACUCUCAUUGAUACUUAGGCUCCCAGGUUUGAAAGGCAUAACCAGGGAUUGUAGAGGUUUCAAUGGGAUUUCUACCACCGUUUGGUAUCAAAGCAAGGUCAGUAAUGUUGGGUAUUCUAGUCUUGCUACUUGACAGUAAUUUUUACAGGUCUUGCCCUUUAUAAACGUUCUGCUUGGUGGCCUGCUUUCUGUUGGAGCUAAGGUGCAGAGUGCCUCUGCUGAUAAUGUGGUUUGCUGGCUUAACAAGGGACGCUGUGGUCAGUUGAACCCGUGUACGUAAGUUGCUUCUAGUAGCCAAAUGGUGCUCUUGAUGCCUUUUGAUGUGCUGUGUGUCUACCACCGGGGAGCCACCCUCCAUGCCUUUCCUUUUCUGCUCUUGCACAUUUGUGGACAGUGUGAUCUGCAGUUGAGUUUUACAUAGCUGUUUUUUUCCCCCCCCCCAUAUAAAUUUGUGUCUUAAGCCUGUAGGCAGCCUGUGCUAGAGGAAGUCUGCUGGUGUUUCAUAGUCCAAGUGGUGAAGCUGACUUGCAAACUUUAAUAUUGUUACUUGUGAAAUGGCAGAAUAAAGAACAAAGCAAAAUCCCCCCUUUAUUUGGCAAAUAUUCACAAUUAAGUAUUAAAAAAAAAAACACUCAUGUGCAGAUUGACUAUUUGAAAGUGACAACCAUUUUAUUUGUGUUGGAAUUUGGCCAGAUAUAUUUCAUAAAUAACAUGAAUGUUUCUGCUGGUUUAUAGUGGCAGUGAGUUGUUUUCUCACAAAAAUCCAUGCUGUUCAAGUUUAACUGAUUUAAAAGAAAAAAACUGGAUGUGAUACAAUCUAUAUAGCUCUAAUUUAAAUAGGGAUAUCAUUUUUCUCAUAUAAAUUACUUGUACUUAACUACGUUUUCUUCCUUUUCUUUACUAUAUUUCAGCACAAAGACAUUAGCAGGCUGCUGGUUUCAUGGACCUGCACCACAGUGACACAGAACACCAGAGCAUCAGGACUGAAUGAAAUUGGAGACUCAGAUUUUUAAAGCUGCACUAAGAAGUAAAUGAUCAGGCAGUGGUUAAAACCAACAGUCUAUACAAGGGGCACUUGCAAAUUGUGCUGUGUUAAGCUGAAGAAAAGGUAUUAGGGGAAUAUUUUAUUAAAAACAGACUACUGCAAUAAAUUAUGUGUGAGAUGAGGAGAAAAGUGAUGUGAAAUAGGCGAAGAACUCCCUUGAAUUUUAUGUAUGAAGAAUCACUGACAGUAACUUCUUUUGAAUGUGAAGUUCUUCUCAGUACAUUUUGGACAGGCCUAAAAGGCAUGGGAUGAUGAUAGAAAUGCUGAGUUAUUUUUCAUACUAAAACUUGCGUGUAUUCACAGUUUAAUGUUAAUCAGCUCAGAUAUGAACAAAGGUGUUUCUAGAAUGGCUCUCCUCUGAAACAGCAAUAGUCACAAAUGCCAAGGCCGAUGUUUCCUUCAGGGUGCCAGUGGAAACAAGAAAAGAUUAUCUAACAUCCUACGAAAAGGAUGGCAAAGUGCCCCCGCCCCACCGAGAAAAUUUGGAUCUUUUCUUUAAUAAAGCAGGGCUAUAGUAUCUUAAAUAUACAUUUGCUUGUUAGAACAUACUAAGUAAGAUGUAUUUAUUUGCCACCAGUAUUUAACAUUUUGUGCACAUUUUCUUUACUACAUUCUUUCAUAUUCUGACUCAAAGUGGAUAGGCUAGUGUUCGUUUUGGAGUGAAAAUAUACUCUUAAGAGCUAGUUCUUCUGCUGAGCCGGAGAAGCUUUUUUUCUCUGUCCUUACUGAUUUUAUCUAAUUCAGAAAAGGUGACAAUAUCUCAAUUUUGAUGUUGACCUCUCUCUACAGCUUUCUAAGUGCAAGAAGUUCUCACAGGUGUCAGGUGGGACUUGACCCUGGGGAACAAGCAACAGGAACAGACCCAUAAAGACGGUGAACUUUUCAUGCAUGGGGUAUGGAUUCUUGUUAAUGGAGACCUAGAUGUUUUUCUUGUCUAUAGAAAAUACAUAUUAUUGAAAAACCUUAAUUUUUUUUUUAAUGAAUAGAGAAAAAAACAAUGAGAAAACCAGAUAGACCUGUUAGUACUACAUUUUUAAGGCAUUUUAUAUUUGAUGGUGCCGUACUUUUAAUAAUAAAACUGAAGUUUUUUAGUGGCAAUACUGAAUUAUUUUUUAAACCAGAAAGAUAAUCCAUAUUGAUUACUUAAUACAAAAAAAAAAAGGAAAAAUGCCAAAAAAAAUUUAUUUGAAGCAACAUAACUAAGCAUUUGGCUCAAGCAGUCAAACUAUAUAGGUUUGCAGUUACUUAAUAACCCCACACUCAGAAUUAACAAAAAUUUCUGGAUGAGUUUUACAAUAUUUACUAUACCUGACUGAUACUUGUUUUACAACUCGAGAAAAGGUAGGCAGUCUUGUUUCUAGCAAGUUAAUGCAAAUCCUAAUUACACUCUGAGUAAUUAGAAGCCUUGAUCACAUUCUAAAAUUGUCUUUAUAAAGGGAGUUCCUCUUGUGGCACAGAGGAAAUGAAUCUGACUAGUAUCCAUGCGGCUGCUGGUUCGAUCCCUGGCCUUGCUGUGAGUUGUGUGGUAUAGGUUGCAGAUGUGGUUCCAAUCUGGAGUUGCUGUGGUGUAGGCUGGCAGCUAUGGCUCCAAUUAGGUCUCUAGCCUGGGAGCUUCCAUAUGCCUCGGGUGCGGUCCUAAAAAAAUAAAAAAAAUUGUCUUUAUGGAAAACUCUUUAUCAUGAAGUCAUUAUACAUUUGAUCAAGUCUGAAAAAGCUCAGGAACUGCAGCAGCAGGGAGGGCUCAAGCUAAUGCGCAGGCACACUGUCCCGGUGCCCUGGCCUCUGGCCCUAGGCUGGGUUCCAUCUUGUUCUUUGAGAUCUGUAACCAAGCAGAACCAGAUAACUCCUAGGUCAUAGCAGAUUCUGUGUAAUAAAAAAUUCUAACUAAGCUUUAUAAGUAUUUGUGCAGAGUGAUGGAAAUGACCAGGAACUAAUAUAAAAGAAUUUGGGAGAGAUCAGGUUUUAAGUAUCAUAUUAUUUUUUCUUAUGACAUUCUCAAUGGUGUUUGUUAUAAACCCAAUUUUCAUUUUUUAAAAAGUGAAACUUGGUGGUAUUUAAAAUGUAGACAUACUAUGUUGCUAUUUCACUUUCAUUGCUUUAGUUGCUUAAUAUUUAAGCUUUGCUUCAUGCUGCCGUCAUCUGUAUUUCAAAUCUUCACAAGCCUGUUUUUGUUUUGUAGACUUGAAUGACAUUGUUUCUCAUCUAAAAAUAUGCAGAGACCUAAAUGCUAAAGAAAGCUGUGGAACAUGUAUCCAAUAAAGGCUUGUUUUUUUUUUU
Non-coding RNA from Sus scrofa (pig), 6642 nucleotides. The record is from RefSeq and is a predicted model, not a curated record. Lineage: Eukaryota; Metazoa; Chordata; Mammalia; Artiodactyla; Suidae.